This 301-nucleotide ribosomal RNA is filed under the name uncultured bacterium. Its description in RNAcentral is "partial 16S ribosomal RNA". It matches the Rfam family "Bacterial small subunit ribosomal RNA", at positions 509 to 809 of the family's 1533-position model. The record is from RNAcentral.
CAGUCGCCGCGGUAAUACAGAGGGUGCGAGCGUUAAUCGGAUUUACUGGGCGUAAAGCGUGCGUAGGUGGUGGUUUAAGUCCGUUGUGAAAGCCCUGGGCUCAACCUGGGAAUUGCAGUGGAUACUGGGUCACUAGAGUGUGGUAGAGGAUAGUGGAAUUUCCGGUGUAGCAGUGAAAUGCGUAGAGAUCGGAAGGAACAUCUGUGGCGAAGGCGACUAUCUGGGCCAACACUGACACUGAGGCACGAAAGCGUGGGGAGCAAACAGGAUUAGAUACCCGUGUAGUCCCUGUCUCUUAUAA